This 301-nucleotide ribosomal RNA is filed under the name uncultured bacterium. Its description in RNAcentral is "partial 16S ribosomal RNA". It matches the Rfam family "Bacterial small subunit ribosomal RNA", at positions 509 to 807 of the family's 1533-position model. The record is from RNAcentral.
CAGUCGCCGCGGUAAUACGAAGGGGGCUAGCGUUGCUCGGAAUGACUGGGCGUAAAGGGCGCGUAGGCGGAUUGUUUAGUUAGGCAUGAAAUUCCUGGGCUUAACCUGGGGACUGCGCUUAAUACAGGCAGUCUAGAGUGAGGAAGAGGGUUGUGGAAUUCCCAGUGUAGAGGUGAAAUUCGUAGAUAUUGGGAAGAACACCGGUGGCGAAGGCGGCAACCUGGUCCUUGACUGACGCUGAGGCGCGAAAGCGUGGGGAGCAAACAGGAUUAGAUACCCCUGUAGUCCCUGUCUCUUAUAC